AGCUUUGCUCAGUGGCAAUAUUAUGACCACGAGCUCCAUCUGAGGCAUGAUUACUGCUAAUUGAAAACUUUUCCCAAUGCAACUAUUGAAAUAUAGUUUGGAUUGGCAUUUUUUGGACAGUCUGUAUGGAA
Papio anubis (olive baboon) is the source of this 131-nucleotide small nuclear RNA. Its record names the gene U4. It matches the Rfam family "U4 spliceosomal RNA". From Rfam's summary of the family: U4 small nuclear RNA (U4 snRNA) is a component of the major U2-dependent spliceosome. The structure of U4 snRNA from yeast and human has been reported. NCBI's taxonomy places the organism in Eukaryota, Metazoa, Chordata, Mammalia, Primates, Cercopithecidae. The record is from Ensembl.